ACUGAGUUCACCACUCAGCGAUAGUUUUGUAUGCUGUCGCAGGUGAGAAUAGAGAUAGAGCAGUUAAGUGAGAUUCUUGCAGCUGCACCUUGAAGACUGCUUGUGACUAGUCUCAGAUAUAUUAUAAGUAUACCCUUGUAUAUUAGAUUUUGAUUAUGUAUAUAAAUAUAAAUAUGUGUAUAUUAUUUGAGCAGUUGUACAAAAA
Molecule: unclassified non-coding RNA, 205 nt
Filed under: Hevea brasiliensis (rubber tree)
Lineage: Eukaryota; Viridiplantae; Streptophyta; Magnoliopsida; Malpighiales; Euphorbiaceae
Source: RNAcentral